GACGGAGGGUGCUAGCGUUGUUCGGAAUCACUGGGCGUAAAGGGCGCGUAGGCGGCCUCAGGUGUCGGAUGUGAAAGCCCGGGGCUCAACCCCGGAGGUGCGUCCAAAACUCUGGGGCUGGAGGUCGGAAGAGGAGGGUGGAAUACCCAGUGUAGAGGUGAAAUUCGUAGAUAUUGGGUGGAACACCGGUGGCGAAAGCGGCUCUCUGGUCCGGACCUGACGCUGAGGCGCGAAAGCGUGGGGAGCAAACAGG
RNAcentral lists this ribosomal RNA (253 nucleotides) under uncultured bacterium. RNAcentral describes it as "partial 16S ribosomal RNA". It matches the Rfam family "Bacterial small subunit ribosomal RNA", at positions 524 to 776 of the family's 1533-position model. The record is from RNAcentral.